This 85-nucleotide transfer RNA is filed under the name Firmicutes bacterium CAG:129. RNAcentral describes it as "transfer RNA-Leu(TAG)". RNAcentral also lists the same sequence under 7 other names. The record is from RNAcentral. Lineage: Bacteria; Bacillati; Bacillota.
GCGGGCAUGAUGAAAUUGGCAGACAUGCGAGAUUUAGGUUCUCGUGCUUUACGGCGUUGGGGUUCGAGUCCCCAUGCCCGCACCA